UACAGAGGGUGCAAACGUUGUUCGGAAUCACUGGGCAUAAAGCGUACGUAGGCGGCGUCGUAAGUGUCGGAUGAAAUCCCACGGCUUACCCGUGGAACGGUCCGGCAUACUGCGGUGCUAGAGGAUGGUAGAGGAGAGCGGAACUCUUGGUGGAGCGGUGAAAUGCGUAGAUAUCAAGAGGAACACCGGUGGCGAAGGCGGCUCUCUGGUCCAUGUCUGACGCUGAGGUACGAAAGCUAGGGGAGCAAACGGG
Molecule: ribosomal RNA, 253 nt
Filed under: uncultured bacterium
Lineage: Bacteria
Description: partial 16S ribosomal RNA
Rfam family: Bacterial small subunit ribosomal RNA
Source: RNAcentral